RNAcentral lists this ribosomal RNA (406 nucleotides) under uncultured bacterium. RNAcentral's name for it is "partial 16S ribosomal RNA". It matches the Rfam family "Bacterial small subunit ribosomal RNA", at positions 28 to 526 of the family's 1533-position model. The record is from RNAcentral.
GACGAACGCUGGCGGCGGGCCUAAUACAUGCAAGUAGAACGAGUUUCGCACGGGUGAGUAACGCGUGGUAACCUGCCUCAUAGCGGGGGGAAACUAUUGGAAACGAUAGCUAAUACCGCAUACUGUGAGAUGGAUCUGCGUGGUAUUAGCUAGUUGGUGGGGUAAAGGCUCACCAAGGCGACGAUACAUAGCCGAUCUGAGAGGAUGAUCGGCCACACUGGAACUGAGACACGGUCCAGACUCCUACGGGAGGCAGCAGUGGGGAAUAUUGCACAAUGGGCGCAAGCCUGAUGCAGCCAUGCCGCGUGUAUGAAGAAGGCCUUCGGGUUGUAAAGUACUUUCAGCGGGGAGGCGUUACCCGCAGAAGAAGCACCGGCUAACUCCGUGCCAGCAGCCGCGGUAAUAC